Molecule: long non-coding RNA, 883 nt
Filed under: Equus asinus (donkey)
Lineage: Eukaryota; Metazoa; Chordata; Mammalia; Perissodactyla; Equidae
Description: lncRNA (ENSEASG00005027608.1)
Source: RNAcentral
UUACAACCAGCCAAAGGGAAUGACAUGAAAGCUGAAGUCCAGGAAGGUCCCAAUGUGAAGUUUCCAGUCGUUCUCUCACCAUGCAGUCCUAGACAGCGUUACUUCCUCCUGGCUACAAUGUGUGAUAAUAGUCAAAGUGGGUCAUCAACCAGGGAGGCUCACCUGAGCCUUUGGCAUCCAGCGUUUUUAUUGGAGCUCAAUCACAUACCGCUUUUGUGUUUACCCUCCUGGAGGCCAGAACUGGGGCUGGUGCUGUUGAUGCUCCACUCAGAUUCCAAGUAUCACUUUGACUGGCUUGUUGAGCACAUUCCCAAACUGCCACCUACAUUGCCGCUGCUGAUUCACACCUAUAACCUUCUUUGGAGAACUUUCCUUGGGCAUUUGUAGCUGCUUUGCUUGCUUUGCGUGUAUACUAUUUCUGUUGAGAAGUCAGCUGUCAGUCUGAUUGUUGCACCUUUGAAGAGAUGUGGCUGGCCACAGUUAGAUGGUGGACUUCUUUCAGAAGCAGAUCUAUUGCACACAGAGAAGACUACCAACGAAUGUGAUUACAUUAUUAAGCCAGGAACACCUCCAGAUAUUUGGUGACCUAACUUUUUUCUUUUGUUUUCAAGACAUAAAGUCUACAAGUGUCUGUGAGAGUGAAGAAAAGUCAUUGUAGCUAAAGGUUCAUCCAAAUAAUGAUGAUUUAAAAAAUCAUAUCGGUCAUUUUAGCAUGUUUUAUAAACUAAUAAUCUAAAUUGAUGAAUGAAGCAGGUGCAUACAUUGUUUUAAUUAACAACAGCUGUGUUAUAGCAACAUUAUAGGAGCUUAUUAUGGCAUCAUUUAUUAAGAAUAUGUUUCCAAGUCAUUUUGUAACAUGCAUUAUAAAAAGUUAUUAAAAGAU